AACCUUCCCCUCUGCAAAAGCAGAACAAAACAAAUACCCCAAAGGCAUGCUCCAAUGAGCCACCUCCUGAAGCUACAUCCUACCUACUACAGUUACUACCCAGCUAAUUAGAUUUAACCCAAUAAUCUAAUAAACUGAGAAUGGAUGUUAGGACAAAGAGAUUGAGAAACUUAUCUAUGGAUUCAAAGCAAAUAAAUGGUAAAGUCAGAUUUAAAAUCAAAGCAGUGUAUUAAUGGGGAGGAAGAAAGGAAUAUCCAAAUAAAAGGAUUUGCCCAUUGAGUAGUUUUGUGGCCUUUUAAUUCAAGAUAUACUUGAUUCAAUAUUUCAUGAGCAUUUCAUAAGAAAUAGAAUUAAGUAUAAUUUACUUUGAAGUUUAAAUUCUGUUACAUUUUUCAGAUUUACAUAAUGCCCCACUCAUAAUGGCAAACAACAGUGAAGAUUUGAUAUGUUAUUAGUUUUCUAGGGCUGUCAUACAAAAUACCAUAGACUAGGUUGCUUAAACAACUGAAAUUUAUUUCCUCACUGAUCAAGAUGUUAGCCGGUUUGGUUUCUUUUGAAGUGUAGGAAGCUUUAUAAUCUCUCUUUAGCUUCACAUGACCAUUUUCUCCCUGGGUCUUCAUGUAGUUUUCCCUUUGGCCAUGUUUGCAUCCUAAUCUCCUCUUCUUAUAAGAAAACUAGUCAUAUUGGAUCAGAGGCCACUGUAAUGACUUCCUUUAACUGUAAUUACAUCAUUGAAACUCUCCACAUAUAGCCAUGUUUUGAGAUAUUGGGUUCAAGGACUUUAAUGUACGAUUUUAGACAAUAGAAAUUCAACUCAUAAAGCCACUAAACUUCCUGAUUCCAAAAUGUAUUUCAAAGAUAUAGUAAUCAAAAAAAAAAAAAAAAACAUUACUCACAUAUAACAGACUGACCAAUGAAACAGAAAGAAACCCCAGAAAUAUAUUCACUCAUUUAUGAUCAAUUUAUUUUUUGAAAAAGAUGCCAAGAACACAUAAUAGGGAAAGAACAAUGUCUUCAAUAAUUGUUGGAAAAUUUAUAUCCAUGUGCAGGAAAAUGAAAUGAGACCCUUGUCUCCUUUCAUAUAUAAAAAUCAACUCAAAAUGCAUUAACGACUUCAACAUAAGACACCAAACCAUAAAAGAAAUAGGAUAAAAUAUGGGAAAACUCCAUGACAUUAGCCUGGGGAAUAAUUUUUUGGAUAGGACCCCAAAAUCCCAGGCUUACCAUUUCUGUACAGAAAUGGUAACAACAAGGACAUAGACAAUAGACAGAUUGAGAGUCUAUAUAUGUAAACCAAAUAAGGGAUUAAUAUUCAGAAAGGUAAGCAACCACUUUAACUCGAUAGUAACAAUACAGCCUGAUUAGAAGAUGGGAAAAGGUCCUGACUAGACAUUCUCAUUAAAAGGGACAAGAAGUACAGUGAAUAUGAAAGAUGCUCAAUACUACUAAUCAAUAAGGGAAAUGUCAAAUAAAAUGACAAUAAGGUAUCAUUUAUACCCAUUAAAAUAGUUAUUAUCAUAGAUGAACAUUAAGUCAACUUUUCACUGUUAUGACCAAAAGAACUGACAAGAACAAUUUUACAGGAUGGAAAAUUUAUUUUGGAAGAAAAAAUUUAUUUUGGGGCUCAUGGUUUCAAAGUUUUCAAUCCAUAGAUGGCUUACUCCAUUGCUUUGGGUUUCAGGUGAGGCAGAACAUCCUGGCAGAAGAAUGUGGCAGAGAAAAACAGUUUAGGACAUAGAAUCAGGAAGCAGAAAGGGAGCCCUCCCCUUCUGCAAAAACAGAACAAAACAAAUACCCCAAAGGUAUGACCCAAUGACCCACCUCCUGCCGCCAUAUCCUACCUACCUACAGUUACUUUCCAGUAAUCCCUAUUAGGAGAUUAAUAGGUUAAACUCUCAUAACCCAACAAUUCUACUCCUAAACUUCUUUGCAUUGUCUCUCACACGAGCUUUUGUGGGACAUAUCACAUCUAAAACAUAAUAAACAAGUGUUAGGAGGUGUAGAAAAGAAAACUCUUGCACAUUGUUGGUGAGAUGUAAAGUAGCACAGCCAUUAUGGAAAAUGAUAUGUAUGUUCCUCAAAAUAUUAAAAAUCGAAUUACCAUUUGAUCCACUUAUCCCACUACUGGAUAUAUAUUCAGAAGACAAGAAUCCAGCCUGUCAAAGGAAUAUCUGCACUUCCAUGUGUAUUGCAUUAUUACUCUCAAUAGUCAAUAUAUGUAAUCAACCUAAGCAUCCAUCAACUAAUGAAUGGAUAAAGAAAAUAGAGCAUAUAGACACAAUGGAAUGCUAUCUAGCCAUAAAGAAGUAAAGCAGGGGGCUGGGGUCGUGGCUCAGCAGUAGAGCUCUCGCUUCACACAUGCAAGACCCUGGGUUUGAUCCUCAGCACCACAUAAAAAUAUAUGAAUAAAAUAAAGGUAUUGUGUCCAACUACAACUAAAAAAUAAAUAUUAAAAAAAACAAGUAAAGCCUGUUAUUUGUGACAAUAGGAAUGAACCUGGAGGACAUUUUGUUAGGUGAAAUAAAUCAGGUACAUAAUGACAACUAGUGUAUGGUAUCACUUUACCUGUGGAAUCUGACAAUGUCAGACCCAUAGAAACAGGGUGAAAUGGUGAUUAUCAGAAGCUGGUGGUUGAAGAGAUUGAAGAGAUUUUAGUCAAAAAAUGCAAAUUUUAAUAUACUUUGAGGAUGAUGAUGUUGAUUCUCUUUGAAGAUCUUGUAGAAUGUGGCUGCAAAACUAUCCAGUCAUUUGUUGGUAGGGUUUUGGUGGCAUCUUCAUUUUUGUGACUUGAAGUUGACCUGUUUAAAUUUUCUAUAUCCUCCUGGUUCAAUUUAGGUGGAUCAUAUAUCUCUAGAAAUUUGUCAAUGUAUUCAAGAUUUUCAAAUUUAUUAGAGUAUAAAUUUUCAAAAUCAUUUCUCUGAUUUUCUUCUAUAUUUUAGUAAUGUCCUUGGUCACAUUUCUUUUUUUUGUCAUAGAUUUUAAUAAUCUUAUUUUAUUGAACACAUGCAUACGAGGCAUCACAUUUAGCUUUAAGACUAUUUAAAGAUAAUUUUUAUACAUCUGCAUAAACUUGUUCAUGACACCACUUUCCUCCUUGAAAGUAUUUUAUCCAUAUUAUUUACAUUGGAAUACCCAGAAUACUUGUGUUACACAUAUGAUAUUGUUAAAUCUAUAGUGAUAAUUACCUUUCCAGGGAGAUUAAUGUUGCAUACUCUAGUUAAAAUUUUGGUGUCAGUGCAUGAAAACAUGGAGAAUAUUCUACACAGGGGUAUUAUUCCUAACUAUUUAAAUACUGAUUUAGUAGUGUUAAAUUUAAAAAAAAAAAAUUGGCAAUUGCUCUUCUAGUCUUAAGUAAAAAAUAGAUAAUUAAUAAAGUUGCUAUGAUUCUUGGAGUAAUAUAUGUGUUUCUGUGUGUAUACAUGUACUUUUUUGCCCCCAAUCCUGCCCCUUACAAUCUGUGCGGAAGAGAUAUGUGUUCUUUAUGAAUUUAUUUAAUCCUAUAAUUUUCAUUUCUAAAUAGGAGUCCCCACACACAAUAAAACCUUUAGCAAUAGAAGAC
This 3559-nucleotide long non-coding RNA is filed under the name Marmota monax (woodchuck). The record is from RNAcentral. Lineage: Eukaryota; Metazoa; Chordata; Mammalia; Rodentia; Sciuridae.